CUGCAAGUGCUCAAGCUGAUAUACCCAAAUGUAUCAAGAGAUGAGUGCAUCGCAUUGCCAUGGGGCUAGAUUAGGGCCUUUUAUAAGACAUGUAGAAUACACGUGAAACCAGUGUGGAGUAACGCAACGAGGAGGUGAAUUAUGCACCUUUAAAAAUGUUAAAAACAACAUGUUGCCAAUAUCCACUUCGAGACGUGUCUUUCGGGAUUCUUCUGUGUGGGAGGAAAGCCGACUGUAUCAUAACAGCUUUAAGUCUAUACAUUUUAAGAUAUCCUGAGAAGAGGAGAACCUGACAAGCGCCCGGGUGACUCGAGAUGUACGGACAAAUGAACAACGACGCAGAAAAAAACUUGUACACUUCAAGACAGGAUGGAAAUCUUCAGUUGUGCACCUGCUAUUGUGGAAUGCCCUGGAGAUGAUGACAGCCACCAUUAUCCUGGUGCACUCUGGGCAAAAGCAAAGUGGACAUCAUCUGAUGUUAUCUUAUGUCAAUGUUUGGAGGAGCACAGUAGGAAAGGAUCAGUUUCUUCACACUUUUAUUAAACAACUGAAGAUUAGAACAUCUUUAGUGGUAGUACUCAAAUUGUUUGAUUGAUAAAAAAGGACUUUGCUGAUUCAUUUAAAUGAAUGACUGUAUUUUCUGGUGUUACACAUAUUGUGAGUUUUCUAUUUUCUUUAUAAGGUUCUGAGUUUAUAGAUUAGAUAAACUCCUAGGCAUGUCUGAAUGGACAUAAUUUAGCAUGAUACAUUACAAAUGAGCUUGCUUUAAUAUUCCCCCAAAUGUUUCUCUGAUUUGACAUAAUUGUGACAGUGUUUAAAUGCGAUAACAGAGUCAUUUUUGAUGAGAGGAACACUUGAACGUGAAGGUAUAUUUGCACAAAGUAAUUACUAUGAAUAAAAGAGCUCGUUUGAUCUUUAUUGACAUUCAUAAUUUCCCGUGUGCCACAUCUUCCCGUAAGGUACAGGAAACUUAAAUGGGGUUAAAUGUUACGCGUCACGGUCCGAGAAAAUAAGGAUGUCAGAUUGGAAGGGUGGGGGAAACGGAGGAUGAUUGCACAGUACAUUUCAAGAGAUCACUAAGGUUACAGCGAUCUACAUAUAGAAACAGACUGGGGAGAAAGAGACGAGGAGAGAGAGAGAGAAAAACAUUGUACAGCAUCACAUUUUUCAGGGCCGAGCGGCAAACAAAUGGAUUCAAUUAAAACCGAUUCCUCCCUUCAAGUCAUCAAUAUGAGGCAAAGUAAGCCCUCCACCAUACUGACAAGGACAAACAAGUACACACAAGGGGACACUAAACGUUCUUUCAGUCAUGCAUAAACAUGCUUUUCUCUCUACGCUCCUGCUCUCUCACUGUCACACACACACACACGCAAUACAAAGGCCCUCAAGGUGAACUUGGUGAAAGAUCUACGAACUCUCUACGAUCUUCAAAGAACUUGCAGUGCGAUUGUGUUAAAUUCACUUCUCCAAACGCAUAAUGAUAACACUCGAUAUCUUUUAUUAUAUACAUCUAGUUGAGAAAAGCAAAAAUGGCAUGAGGUGUACGGUGUACGGUGGAACCUGCCCUGCAGUGUGGGCUUCACUUCUCUCGCCUCUCUCUGAGUUCAAAGGCACAGGAACAGAGAGGGUCGGAUUUAUUCAGGCUUUAUGUGGUAAAUGCUUGGAUGUCUUUCUUGUAGUCUGCAAGGCUCUAAGAUCACAUUUAGGAAACGUUCUAUUGUGAGGUUGGCUGUGAAAUCCCCAUAAUAAAUUCACCAAACAGGCACAAGCAAUGGCUAUUUACGAUCGUGGCCAGUUUUUUCCUUUCUAUCUUGCCUUCCAGGUAAAGGUGUG
Molecule: long non-coding RNA, 1833 nt
Organism: Labeo rohita (rohu)
Lineage: Eukaryota; Metazoa; Chordata; Actinopteri; Cypriniformes; Cyprinidae
Exons: 4
Source: RefSeq, a predicted model, not a curated record